CUGAGGAACUCGAGAAGCUGCCACAUCUGCCUAAAGAAACAAGCAGAGAAGAAUGCAGCAUGCACAGUUAACUCAGCAGAAAGAGUCUGAGAUGAAGAACUCGAGAAGAUGCCGCAUCUGCCUGAGGACGGUGAACUCGUUUUGACCCUCAAAUUCUUGGGUCGACUUACUAGGCGUUGUAGGCUGCACGUGUCGAUUCACCACCCUUGAAUCAAAUCCUUAAAGAUCAAGUCACCAACUGGAAGAAAAGCCCAUCAAUCUUGAAGAUCAUACCGUUGACCAAACUGCUCAGGUGAAUUAGAAAGAUUGAACAAAGAAACAGGUUGUCACCUUUACCUCGUGCCUGCUUGCCAUGUGUUCGAGUCAACCUUCAAGAAUCAAGCCUCAACGGCCCUUGAAGAAGCUUCCAGUCAAAUUCAAAAUCAAGCAUCGACGACCUUUGAGGAAAUUACAAGUCCGAUUCAAGAUUAAGUGUCUACCACCCUUGAAUCAAAACCUAGUUCAAGAAUAAGUGUCUACCACCCUUGAAUCAAAACCUAGUUCAAGAAUAAGCUGUGGAAAAUCAACAAUUGGAGGAAUCCAGAAAAUCCUUCAACACAGUUCAAGAUCAAAGCUGUGGAAAGUCAACAAGCGCAACAAAAUACGUGCCGAUUCACCCACUACCAAAGCCAAAGAUCAUCUACCACAUGAAGUUCCUUGUGGUUCAAUUUCAACCUUCAAGAUCAAGCCUCGACGGCCCUCGAAGAAAUUUCAAACAAAAAAUUCAAGAACAAGCCUCAACAGCCCUUGAAGAAAUCUCAAGCCCAAUUCAAGAUCAAGCCUCAAACGGCCCUUGAAGAAAUCUCCAGCCCAAUCCAAGAUCAAGCCUCGAAUGGCCCUUGGAUCGACAUCUACAGUAAGGGACUUCAAAACGCAUCUCCUACACGUGACAAUCACAUGUAUACGACACGCCUUGAAGUGGGGGCAUUUGUAGACAUCGAAAUUUCGGUAAAUAAAUGUUGACCGAUAAAUCAAAGUGUCAACGCUCAUGUAUUACAUAAAUUUUACACGUAGCGUGUGACUCAACGAAAAUUGAAAUGAGUUGGAAAAGUCAUCAAAUAAGACACGUGUCAACACCUGGCAGAAACGACUUAUUUCAUCUGGGAUAUUAUAUUCAAAAUUAGGCAUUGGAAAAUUCUAUAAAUACAAGCCUAUUUCAUUCAUUUUGGGGGGGGGAGGAAUUGAUAUUACACCUUGAAGCUCUGAAGCUCUAAAACUCCGAAACUCUCAAGCAUCUAGGUUCCCGAAGAAUCAAGAAAGCCUUCUUCGUUCUUCGUUCAUCGUUCUUCCAAGAUCAAGCCCCAACGGCCCUUGAAGAAAGUGUUUCUUCGUUCAUCGUUCUUCCAAGAUCAAGCCCCGACGGCC
Molecule: long non-coding RNA, 1404 nt
Filed under: Malus domestica (apple)
Lineage: Eukaryota; Viridiplantae; Streptophyta; Magnoliopsida; Rosales; Rosaceae
Description: long non-coding RNA (MDOM_LNC017531)
Source: RNAcentral